Molecule: ribosomal RNA, 1964 nt
Filed under: human gut metagenome
Description: bacterial LSU rRNA
Rfam family: Bacterial large subunit ribosomal RNA
Source: RNAcentral
UCAAGCUACAAAGGGCGCAUGGUGAAUGCCUUGGCAUCAGGAGCCGAUGAAGGACGUGAUAAGCUGCGAUAAGCUUCGGGUAGGCGCACAUAGCCUGAGAUCCGAAGAUCUCCGAAUGAGGAAACUCACAUGGGAAACCCCAUGUAUCAUUAAGUGAAUACAUAGCUUAAUGAAGGUAACCCAGGGAACUGAAACAUCUAAGUACCUGGAGGAAGAGAAAGAAAAAUCGAUUUUCUUAGUAGCGGCGAGCGAAAGGGAAAGAGCCCAAACCGGAAACUUGUUUCCGGGGUUGUGGACAUAACAUAAAAGUGGAGGCUAUUGUAACUGAAGAGAACUGGAAAGUUCCACCGUAGAAGGUAAUAGUCCUGUAAGUGAAACGAGAAGACCACGAGUUAUGAUCCAGAGUACCACGAGACACGUGAAACCUUGUGGGAAGCAGGGAGGACCACCUCCCAAGGCUAAAUACUACCUGAUGACCGAUAGUGAAGCAGUACCGUGAGGGAAAGGUGAAAAGAACCCCGGGAGGGGAGUGAAAUAGAACCUGAAACCGUGUGCCUACAACCGCUCAGAGCCCCUUAUGAGGGUGAUGAGGUGCUUUUUGUAGAACGAGCCAACGAGUUACGGUAUGUAGCAAGGUUAAGUACUUAAGGUACGGAGCCGAAGGGAAACCGAGUCUGAAUAGGGCGACUAGUUGCAUGCCGUAGACCCGAAACCGGGUGACCUAUCCAUGGCCAGGUUGAAGCGAGGGUAAAACCUCGUGGAGGACCGAACCACGUUGCUGUUGAAAAAGCAUGGGAUGAGCUGUGGAUAGCGGAGAAAUUCCAAUCGAACCCGGAGAUAGCUGGUUCUCUCCGAAAUAGCUUUAGGGCUAGCGUCGAGUAUGAGUAGUGGAGGUAGAGCACUGAAUGGGCUAGGGGGCAUAGCGCUUACCGAACCUUAUCAAACUCCGAAUGCCACAUACUUUGAGCUCGGCAGUCAGACUACGAAUGAUAAGAUCCGUGGUCAAAAGGGAAACAGCCCAGAUCGUCAGCUAAGGUCCCAAAGUGUAAGUUAAGUGGAAAAGGAUGUGGGAUUUCUAAGACAACUAGGAUGUUGGCUUAGAAGCAGCCACUCAUUUAAAGAGUGCGUAAUAGCUCACUAGUCGAGAGAUCCUGCGCCGAAAAUGUACCGGGGCUAAACUUACCACCGAAGCUACGGAUUUGCAAGUAAUUGCAAGUGGUAGGGGAGCGUCGUAAUCGGGCUGAAGUCGUACCGGAAGGAGCGGUGGACUGAUUACGAGUGAGAAUGUUGGCAUUAGUAGCGAGAUGUAGGUGAGAAUCCUACAGGCCGAAUAUCUAAGGUUUCCUCAGGAAGGCUCGUCCGCUGAGGGUUAGUCGGGACCUAAGCCGAGGCCGAAAGGCGUAGGCGAUGGACAAUCGGUUGAUAUUCCGAUACCACUACCAUCGUUAUUAUCGAGGGUGUGACGGAGAAGGAUAGUGUGUGCUAGCGAUUGGAAAUGCUAGUCUAAGCGUUUAGGGAGUUACGGUAGGCAAAUCCGCUGUAACAAUUCUGAGGCGUGAUGGGGAAGGUCAUUAAGACCGAAGUACAUGAUUCCAUGCUUCCAAGAAAAGCAUCUAGAGAGAGAAGUAGUGCCCGUACCGCAAACCGACACAGGUAGAUGAGGAGAGAAUCCUAAGGCCGGCGGAAGAAUUGCAGUUAAGGAACUAGGCAAAUUGACCCCGUAAGUUCGCGAGAAGGGGUGCCUGCGAGAGCAGGCCGCAGAGAAUAGGCCCAAGCAACUGUUUAGCAAAAACACAGGUCUCUGCUAAAGCGUAAGCUGAUGUAUAGGGGCUGACGCCUGCCCGGUGCUGGAAGGUUAAGGGGAACACUUAGCGCAAGCGAAGGUGUGAACUUAAGCCCCAGUAAACGGCGGCCGUAACUAUAACGGUCCUAAGGUAGCGAAAUUCCUUGUCAGGUAAGUUCUG